GACGAACGCUGGCGGCGUGCUUAACACAUGCAAGUCGAACGAAGAGCGACGGAAGCUUGCUUCUAUCAAUCUUAGUGGCGCACGGGUGAGUAACGCGUAAUCAACCUGCCCUUCAGAGGGGGACAACAGUUGGAAACGACUGCUAAUACCGCAUACGAUCUAACCUCGGCAUCGAGGAUAGAUGAAAGGUGGCCUCUACAUGUAAGCUAUCACUGAAGGAGGGGAUUGCGUCUGAUUAGCUAGUUGGAGGGGUAACGGCCCACCAAGGCGAUGAUCAGUAGCCGGUCUGAGAGCAUGAACGGCCACAUUGGGACUGAGACACGGCCCAGACUCCUACGGGAGGCAGCAGUGGGGAAUCUUCCGCAAUGGACGAAAGUCUGACGGAGCAACGCCGCGUGAGUGAUGACGGCCUUCGGGUUGUAAAGCUCUGUUAAUCGGGACGAAAGGCCUUCUUGCGAAUAGUGAGAAGGAUUGACGGUACCGGAAUAGAAAGCCGCGGCUAACUACGUG
This 510-nucleotide ribosomal RNA is filed under the name uncultured bacterium. RNAcentral describes it as "partial 16S ribosomal RNA". It matches the Rfam family "Bacterial small subunit ribosomal RNA", at positions 28 to 507 of the family's 1533-position model. The record is from RNAcentral.